Rhododendron vialii is the source of this 801-nucleotide long non-coding RNA. RefSeq lists it as uncharacterized. The record is from RefSeq and is a predicted model, not a curated record. NCBI's taxonomy places the organism in Eukaryota, Viridiplantae, Streptophyta, Magnoliopsida, Ericales, Ericaceae. The transcript has 2 exons.
AGAAACACAGAAGAGAGAGAGAAGAAGAAGGCUCGUCCACUCACGAAUAGCAUUAAAAUGCUGGAGCGAGUAUUAAAGGUAGGUUGUGAACCAACUCAACCUACCUGGUGAGAGUUGAUCCUCCCCAUAAUAUUAUCUUAUGAGGCCUUUGAUAGGUAAUCAGGUGAACUUCAAGGCUUGGAAUAUUUUGUCAGUUCUACAAUUUUGACACACAUCUUGCAUAUGCCAACUGAUGACUCUUUCCUACAAUGUCUUUGGUGUAUGCAAGGAAUACCUACUCAGCCUCCAAACUAUGAAAAGGAACGAGCCUACUUUCAAGAGGUUGAUUCCUUUGAACUUUUGGAGGAAAGCCCCUCACCAAAGAAAUCUGGUACAUGGGCUAUGGGCGUCCAAAGUGGUGAUGUAGCUAUACCACAUAUGUCGAUAGCACUAAGGAAUCAACCUCCUUCAUUAUAAAGCCUUCGGCUUCUCUGUCUAAGAUAUUACAAACUCCUGCAUUAUCAAGCCAAUCCAUUUGCAAGCGUGCCUACUACCUCAGUUGCAGGAUCGAAAGAGUUUGCUCCUGCACCUGCUUCAGGGACAUCUGAUUCUACCGGUUGUAUAAUUUUUGUUGGAACUUGUGGCACUAUUGGUUUGAAUGCACUCUUUUGUUUGAGCAACUUUUGCAAUUUUUUUUGAGGUGAAGAGAAGAGGAUAGGAGUGGAGAGUCUUUUAUGAUAUUUUGUUUCUAGACUUGUCAUUGCAGUACUCUAAUUAUUAUUAGAUUUCUUUGGAGAAUAAAUGAUAUUGAUUCUGUGAGUU